CCUACGGGUGGCUGCAGUCGAGAAUCAUUCACAAUGGGGGAAACCCUGAUGGUGCGACGCCGCGUGGGGGAAUGAAGGUCUUCGGAUUGUAAACCCCUGUCAUGUGGGAGCAAAUUAAAAAGAUAGUACCACAAGAGGAAGAGACGGCUAACUCUGUGCCAGCAGCCGCGGUAAUACAGAGGUCUCAAGCGUUGUUCGGAAUCACUGGGCGUAAGGCGUGCGUAGGCUGUUUCGUAAGUCGUGUGUGAAAGGCGCGGGCUCAACCCGCGGACGGCACAUGAUACUGCGAGACUAGAGUAAUGGAGGGGGAACCGGAAUUCUCGGUGUAGCAGUGAAAUGCGUAGAUAUCGAGAGGAACACUCGUGGCGAAGGCAGCAUACCGGCGCUCAACUGACGCUCAUACACGAAAGCGUGGGUAUCGAACAGGAUUAGAUACCCUUGUAGUC
Molecule: ribosomal RNA, 446 nt
Filed under: uncultured bacterium
Lineage: Bacteria
Description: partial 16S ribosomal RNA
Rfam family: Bacterial small subunit ribosomal RNA
Source: RNAcentral